CCUACGGGUGGCAGCAGUGAGGAAUAUUGGUCAAUGGCCGGAAGGCUGAACCAGCCAUGCCGCGUGAAGGACAGAGUCCUACGGGAGUUAAACUUCUAUUGUGCGGGAGCAAUAAUGGUCACGUGUGGCCAGACGACAGUACCGUACGAAUAAGCAGCGGCUAACUCCGUGCCAGCAGCCGCGGUGAUACGGGGGAUGAAAGCGUUAUCCGGAUUUCUUGGGUGUAAAGGGUGCGUAGGCUGUGAGGUAAGUCAGCGGUCAAAUGCCCCCGCUCAACGGGGUGAAGUGCCAUUGAUACUGUCUUGCUGGAGUGCAGGUGACGUGAGAGGAAUGUGUGGUGUAGCGGUGAAAUGCGUAGAUAUCA
This 364-nucleotide ribosomal RNA is filed under the name uncultured bacterium. Its description in RNAcentral is "partial 16S ribosomal RNA". It matches the Rfam family "Bacterial small subunit ribosomal RNA", at positions 338 to 699 of the family's 1533-position model. The record is from RNAcentral.